Molecule: transfer RNA, 64 nt
Filed under: Bryodemella tuberculata diluta
Lineage: Eukaryota; Metazoa; Arthropoda; Insecta; Orthoptera; Acrididae
Also listed under: 9 other names
Description: tRNA-Thr
Rfam family: tRNA
About the family: Transfer RNA (tRNA) molecules are approximately 80 nucleotides in length. Their secondary structure includes four short double-helical elements and three loops (D, anti-codon, and T loops). Further hydrogen bonds mediate the characteristic L-shaped molecular structure. tRNAs have two regions of fundamental functional importance: the anti-codon, which is responsible for specific mRNA codon recognition, and the 3' end, to which the tRNAs corresponding amino acid is attached (by aminoacyl-tRNA synthetases). tRNAs cope with the degeneracy of the genetic code in two manners: having more than one tRNA (with a specific anti-codon) for a particular amino acid; and 'wobble' base-pairing, i.e. permitting non-standard base-pairing at the 3rd anti-codon position.
Source: RNAcentral
GUUUUAAUAGUUUAAUAAAAACACUGGUUUUGUAAACCAAAAUUAAGAAAGCACUUUUAAAACU